This 490-nucleotide ribosomal RNA is filed under the name uncultured bacterium. RNAcentral's name for it is "partial 16S ribosomal RNA". It matches the Rfam family "Bacterial small subunit ribosomal RNA", at positions 29 to 505 of the family's 1533-position model. The record is from RNAcentral.
AGUGAACGCUGGCGGUAGGCCUAACACAUGCAAGUCGAACGGCAGCACAGUAAGAGCUUGCUCUUACGGGUGGCGAGUGGCGGACGGGUGAGGAAUACAUCGGAAUCUACUUUUUCGUGGGGGAUAACGUAGGGAAACUUACGCUAAUACCGCAUACGACCUACGGGUGAAAGCAGGGGAUCUUCGGACCUUGCGCGAUUGAAUGAGCCGAUGUCGGAUUAGCUAGUUGGCGGGGUAAAGGCCCACCAAGGCGACGAUCCGUAGCUGGUCUGAGAGGAUGAUCAGCCACACUGGAACUGAGACACGGUCCAGACUCCUACGGGAGGCAGCAGUGGGGAAUAUUGGACAAGGGGCGAAAGCCUGAUCCAGCCAUACCGCGUGGGUGAAGAAGGCCUUCGGGUUGUAAAGCCCUUUUGUGGGGAAAGAAAAGCAGCAGGUUAAUACCCCGCUGUUCUGACGGUACCCAAAGAAUAAGCACCGGCUAACUUCG